AAUAGAUACCCUGGUAGUCCACGCCGUAAACGAUGAGUGCUAAGUGUUAGGGGGUUUCCGCCCCUUAGUGCUGCAGCUAACGCAUUAAGCACUCCGCCUGGGGAGUACGGUCGCAAGACUGAAACUCAAAGGAAUUGACGGGGGCCCGCACAAGCGGUGGAGCAUGUGGUUUAAUUCGAAGCAACGCGAAGAACCUUACCAGGUCUUGACAUCCCGCUGACCGCUAUGGAGACAUAGCCUUCCCUUCGGGGACAGCGGUGACAGGUGGUGCAUGGUUGUCGUCAGCUCGUGUCGUGAGAUGUUGGGUUAAGUCCCGCAACGAGCGCAACCCUUGAGAUUAGUUGCCAUCAUUCAGUUGGGCACUCUAAUCUGACUGCCGGUGAUAAACCGGAGGAAGGUGGGGAUGACGUCAAAUCAUCAUGCCCCUUAUGACCUGGGCUACACGCGUGCUACAAUGGACGGUACAAACGGUUGCCAACCCGGCGAGGGGGAGCCAAUCCGAUAAAACCGUUCUCAGUUCGGAUUGUAGGCUGCAACUCG
This 540-nucleotide ribosomal RNA is filed under the name uncultured bacterium. RNAcentral's name for it is "bacterial SSU rRNA". It matches the Rfam family "Bacterial small subunit ribosomal RNA", at positions 777 to 1314 of the family's 1533-position model. The record is from RNAcentral.